GGUUUCGUGGUCGAGUGGUAAAGAUACUUACCUCUCACCCUGGAAUCCCAGGUUCGAUUCCCGGUCGAGGAGCUAAACCA
Molecule: non-coding RNA, 80 nt
Organism: Rhamnusium bicolor
Lineage: Eukaryota; Metazoa; Arthropoda; Insecta; Coleoptera; Cerambycidae
Source: the annotation of a GenBank genome assembly